Molecule: ribosomal RNA, 253 nt
Filed under: uncultured bacterium
Lineage: Bacteria
Description: partial 16S ribosomal RNA
Rfam family: Bacterial small subunit ribosomal RNA
Source: RNAcentral
UACGGAGGGUGCAAGCGUUAUCCGGAUUCACUGGGUUUAAAGGGUGCGUAGGUGGGCAGGUAAGUCCGUGGUGAAAUCCUAUAGCUUAACUAUAGAACUGCCAUGGAUACUAUUUGUCUUGAAUGUCGUAGAGGUAAGCGGAAUAUGUCAUGUAGCGGUGAAAUGCUUAGAUAUGACAUAGAACACCAAUUGCGAAGGCAGCUUACUAUGCGAUGAUUGACACUGAGGCACGAAAGCGUGGGUAGCAAACAGG